RNAcentral lists this ribosomal RNA (112 nucleotides) under Caerostris darwini. Lineage: Eukaryota; Metazoa; Arthropoda; Arachnida; Araneae; Araneidae. The record is from RNAcentral.
AACGGCCAUACCAUGCUGAAUAUACCGGUUCUCGUUAGAUCACCGAAGUCAUGCAUCAUUGGGCGCGGUCAGUACUUGGGUGGGUGACCACCUGGGAACACCGUGUGCCGUU